Molecule: ribosomal RNA, 492 nt
Filed under: uncultured bacterium
Lineage: Bacteria
Description: partial 16S ribosomal RNA
Rfam family: Bacterial small subunit ribosomal RNA
Source: RNAcentral
AGUGAACGCUGGCGGUAUGCCUAACACAUGCAAGUCGAACGGCAGCACAGUAAGAGCUUGCUCUUACGGGUGGCGAGUGGCGGACGGGUGAGGAAUACAUCGGAAUCUACUUUUUCUUGGGUGAUAACGUAGGGAAACUUACGCUAAUACCUCAUACGACCUACGGGUGAAAGCAGGAGAUCUUCGGACCUUGCGCGAUUCAAUGAGCCGAUGUCGGAUUAGCUAGUUGGCGGGGUAAAGGCCCACCAAGGCGACGAUCCGUAGCUGGUCUGAGAGGAUGAUCAGCCACACUGGAACUGAGACACGGUCCAGACUCCUACGGGAGGCAGCAGUGGGGAAUAUUGGACAAUGGGCGCAAGCCUGAUCCAGCCAUACCGCGUGGGUGAAGAAGGCCUUCGGGUUGUAAAGCCCUUUUGUUGGGAAAGAAAAGCAGCAGGUUAAUACCCCGCUGUUCUGACGGUACCCAAAGAAUAAGCACCGGCUAACUUCGUG